GUGCUUGCUUUGGUAGCACAUACAUUAAAAUUGGAAUGAUAUAGAGAAGGUUAGCACAACCCUUGCUCAAGGAUGACAUGUAAAUUUGUGAAGCUUUCCAUGUUUUU
This 107-nucleotide small nuclear RNA is filed under the name Dasypus novemcinctus (nine-banded armadillo). Lineage: Eukaryota; Metazoa; Chordata; Mammalia; Cingulata; Dasypodidae. The record is from RNAcentral.